CCAGCAUGUUCUUUGGAGCUCAGGUACAGCUCCUCUGGAGCCUUGCUUUCUGGAAGGCAGUAAAUGGAGACAUCAUCCUCACCCAGACGCCAGCAUCCCUGUCUGCACCUCAGGGAGAGACCGUCUCCAUCUCCUGCCAAGCCAGUGAAGACGUACAUGGUGAAAUAUCUUGGAUUCGAAUAAAACUUGGACAAAGAUUUGAGCCCCUUAUAUCUCAUGUCACUACCUUGGCCCCAGGUGUCCCAGCUCGAUACAGUGGCAGGGGAAGUGGAACCAGCUAUGUCUUCAGCAUCAGUGCUCUGCAGCCGGGGGACUCUGGGGAGUAUUACUGUAUGCAUGACUACGGGUGGCCAACCCACAGUGGUGCACCCUGUGCACAAAACUCCUGCUGCCUGUCAUAG
Molecule: non-coding RNA, 401 nt
Organism: Cebus imitator (Panamanian white-faced capuchin)
Lineage: Eukaryota; Metazoa; Chordata; Mammalia; Primates; Cebidae
Source: the annotation of a RefSeq genome assembly